GCAUGGUGGCGAUUCAAGGGAACGUUUGUUCUGAAAUAAUCAGGACGGAGGCUACAAGAAUGUGGGCUUUGCUGCAAAAGUGAUUUCAGGUUCUUCAAGAAGAUCCUUGCCUCAAGCUGACCCCAAUCAUAUCCUACAGGCCACGGAAAAUCACGAACAACCAUCCCAGCCUACUCUUCCUUCCUUGGGACAGGAGCAAAUUAGAAUGUUUAGAGAUAGAUGCUGGAAAAUAGCCAAGAAGGAAAUGGUCCUCGCUGUUGGUUCAGAGCAGAAAGUUGGCUGCGGAGGUAAAAAUGAAAGCGAGGAAACGACAGAGCGAUGUAAGAAGAACCCUGCUGGAUCAGAACAAAGGCCCAUCUAAGUCCAGCAUCCUGUUCUCACAGCAGCCAGUCGGAUGCCCACAAUGGGAAGCCUGCAAGCAUCAAUGGGCAAAGAGAUCACAUCCAGUUUGCCUCUCCUGUUUUCUCUAAAUGUCCUUCAGAUUUACAGACUCACAGAAGUCUCUGACUUCAGUCAAACUGACUGAGCAAGGCAGGAGAAAAGAAGCAAAGGGGAAGAUAAUUUAUAUAUAGGACCAGUGCUUUUUUUCUUAAAAAAUAUAUAUUUGGGGGUACUCUCUUUUUGACUCAAGGAAAUCACCAUUUUA
Molecule: non-coding RNA, 646 nt
Organism: Podarcis muralis (Common wall lizard)
Lineage: Eukaryota; Metazoa; Chordata; Lepidosauria; Squamata; Lacertidae
Source: RefSeq, a predicted model, not a curated record